UCAGUGUUACUGCUGAGUACCUAACUACCUGGCCCUCAGUACUGCUGAAGCAGCGGAAGGCUGGGCAGCCUGUCCCUGGCCUGUGAACCAGCUGGGACUGCAGGAGUACCCCGCCACAAGGAAAACCAGCUGAAGGUGGACUUUUGAUGGCCGGGCACAUCUCCUCCCUCCCCCCUUCCCCAGGAAGCUGCUUCACCCAGGGGAGCACGUGGCCUGGAAGAGGAGUGGCCGACUGUGCCUCCAGCUGUAUGGCAGGACCUAGGCAGAGCAGGAAAAGGUGACACCUGCCCACUCGCCAUGGCCUCAGUAAAGCGGGCAGGGGUUUUCUGGCAAACAAGAUCGCCAGCGCAGACCUCCUCAGAGCGGUUCCCUCACUCCUGCCCCCUCUUGGCUCUGCGGCAGGGGGAUGACCACAGCUCUGCGCCUGCCCCCUAGGCACCGGGCAAGGAGCAGGUCGAGCCGGGCGCAGCGGGUCCAAGGCACAGCGAGGGUCCAGCCCACAGAGGCCAGAGGAGGCGGCGGGUCCGUCAGCAGGAUGUUGAUGAAGCAAGAAGGAAAAGCAGAGAAGCUACCUGUGACUAGGAAGUAGAGAAAGUGUUUCUGAGACCCCUCUCCCUGCUUAAUGACCUCAUUAGUAACUGCCAAAGACUGAACACUUUGAAGGAUCUCGCUCAUUACAGCAGCUCCAAACUCCGCAUUUAAAGAUGGUAAAUUAAUUUUUUUAAUGUACUACUUUUUUUUCCUUCCUUCCCUCCAUCCCUCCCUCCUGCUCUGUCAGGGGAUUGUUUAUGGGAUGUGGCAGAUUGUUACAAAUGGGGGAGAGAAACAUUUCCAAAUUCCAUGAGGGAAAUAGCUCACAGAUGCUGGCGGGAGUGGGAAAGGAACAGGUUUGUCAAAAUUGAGAGAUCCAGAUGGGCUUGUGGGCAGGAAGGGGUGGGAGGAAGUGAAACCACCCAGAUGUGCUGGGGACUAUCUCCCAGCCCAUGAACCUGAGGUAGAAGGAACCCAGGAACCUGAGAUGGGUGGGGUCUUUCUCACCUCCAGCUUGCAAGCCCCUCCCAGUCUGGAGCCCUCACCCUUAAACAACACUCCAGAUCCUCCAGGCCCUGUUGCUUCACUCUCUAGGCUUUUCUGGCCUCUUCACUCUGCACUGAUGGGUGAGUUGCGGGGAAAUCCCUGGGAUGAGAUCAAGAACAACUGCAAGUUCAAAGUGAGGAAAUUAUGACUUUGCACUGUGACCCUGUGCUCUACUGAUGCUGGUAGAAUUUUUAUACUUCUGGAUGUCUGGGCCUUACUCCAGACACUAAAAUCAGAAUCUCUGGGCUUCUUUGGUUUUUAUAAAGUCACACAGUACAUUUUUUGUUUUGUUUUGUUUUUGUUUUUGCUUUUUAGGGCCACACCUGUGGCAUAUGGAAGUUCCAAGGCUAGGCGUCGAAUCAGAGCUGCAGCGGCCAGCCUAUGCCACAGCCAC
Sus scrofa (pig) is the source of this 1471-nucleotide non-coding RNA. The record is from RefSeq and is a predicted model, not a curated record. NCBI's taxonomy places the organism in Eukaryota, Metazoa, Chordata, Mammalia, Artiodactyla, Suidae.